AUUGAACGCUGGCGGCAGGCUUAACACAUGCAAGUCGAACGGUAACAGGGAGUAGCUUGCUACUUUGCUGACGAGUGGCGGACGGGUGAGUAAGGUAUGGGAAUUUGCCGAAUGGAGGGGACAACAGUUGGAAACGGCUGCUAAAUACCGCAUAACGUCGCGAAGACCAAAGGGUGGGACUUUCGGGCCACCUGCAUUGAUGAGCCCAUAUGAGAUUAGCUAGUUGGUGUGG
Molecule: ribosomal RNA, 232 nt
Filed under: uncultured bacterium
Lineage: Bacteria
Description: partial 16S ribosomal RNA
Rfam family: Bacterial small subunit ribosomal RNA
Source: RNAcentral